GUAGAAGCCAACACCAAACUGACCAAUCAUGGACACAUCAGCACCAGCAGCCAAUGCCUCCAUGAACUCCUUGGUCCCGGACCUUGCAAUCGUACCAAGGUUGUUCACCAGAUCUGACUUGGUCAUACCAAUACCACUAUCAAUAAGCGUGAGCGUGUUUGUGGCCUUGUCAGGGACAAUGUGGAUGAACAGCUCUGGCUGAGCAUCAAGCUUGCUCUUGUCAGUCAGGCUCUCGAACCUGAUCUUAUCCAAUGCCUGCAGAACAGAGCAUCCAAUUUAGUGAAAAUUUCACAAACGGCAUCCAAUCAACAAUGUAAAACAACUAGGAUAUUAACCGGAGACUGAUGCUUUACAAAAACUAAGAAAACAAUGCUUGUUUAGAAUGAGCAUACAGCCUAUUUUCGCAAUUUUGCUCAAACUAGGCUACUUGGGAUUCCAAUGUUGUGGGAGUAGUGAAUUUAACUGAACAAAAUCAAGAGUAAUUCUAUCUACAUGCAAAUCUACCUUAGAGAUUUGAAGGUGGGAGACCAAUGAUUCUAAGAAAUUAAUAAAUCUUAAUAAUCAGCACAAACGCAAUCUAGUCGUCUUAAUAUUUAAGCUUAUAUGAUUGAAGGAUUUAAAGCAUAGCACAUACGCUCGAUUGAGCUUUCAACAGAGAGUAAUUGUUUUGAACGCUAGUUUAAUGGGCAAAUCAGCUCACUAACCACGGGAGUUUCAUAUUUGACAUACCACGGAGUCCAGAGAUCAAAAUAAUUUAAUGAUACGCCUUAUGCACAGAACGGUACACAUAUCGCAGAUUCACAGUAUGAUUGAAAAUCACACCGAUCUAUUUUUUAUGCAUCAUAACGUCCACAGAUCUAGAGCGGCAAGGGCAAACAAAAACAAAGGUACAGGGGCCGCGGGGUAGGGAGCUUACAUCGGAGGAGUUGGAGAUGAGCUCGCGGAGGAAGAUCUCCUUGUUGGAGUAGAAGGUGUUGAUGAUGAGCGAGAGCAACUGGUUGAUCUCCGCCUGGAAGGCAAAGGUCUCCGUCUCCGAGGCCAUGGCGCCGGAACCCGAGGGGAAGAAGACGGCGGCUAGGGUUUUUGAGCGGGUACCAGGGUUGCUGUAAGGCUAGGUCAGAGAGGGGAUGCGUGGGGGAGCGGAUUUAUAGUGAGGGGAGGGGUUCUGGAACGUUCUAUGCCACGCGAUGCAAUGGGGAGACGACGCGCGAGGUCAGGGUCAAGUUGACUAGUCGUUGGGCCCGAGUUCCUGUGGCCCACAUGUCAGUUAGAUAGUCUAAGUUGCUCUCCAGAAGCUUCUACGUUUUGUCUAUGAAUGAGUCAACGAUGAAAUGGGAAUGAAUUCAUUUCUUAUGCACAAUUUUCACAAUUUAGCAAACCAACGUGAUUUAAAUCUCUCUCAUGUAACAUACUACGAGACAAUUCAUUGAGAAUGUUGUUUAAGUUCAAAAUUGCGCUAAAUCAAUGCCAAUAAUUUAGGAUCGGAGGGAGUACUACCGUUGUUCAAACUAUAAGAUUUUAUAAUUUUGUCUUAAAUCAAACUUCUUCAAAUUUAUAUAAAACUACCGAUGUCUACAACUCUAAGUUAAUGUUAUUAAAUUCCCUAUAAAUCUUUAUAUACUUAUUUGAUAUUUUAGAUAUUGGUGUAUUUUUAUAGCGUUGGUCAAAUUUUAACGAGCGAAUUCAAAUUUUGCCCCAUGUUUGGUAAUUGUCAAAUGUUUACCCCGUUAUUUAAUUUUGUGCUAUAUUUUUAUCCUCUAUUUGUAAAUAUGAGUCCGUUUUUACCCAUCUAACCAAUUUGCCUGGUUUUUGACAUGUUGUACCACCUGUUGCUGUUGGGGUGACAUGGCUAGUCAAUGCCUAACAUGUUGAAAGCCUACUUUGGUAUGGCACUUUCUCCCUCUCCUUAACCGCCCCGGUUACCAACACCAACUCAUUUUCUCCAUGUUUUUUUUCUUAUAGUUAGGUCAUAGUUUUUGAGAAUUUCAAAUCUUCUACUCCCUCCGUACAACAAAAGAUGUCUCAAGUUUAUCAAAAUUUGGAUGUAUCUAGACAUGACUUAGGGAGCGUUUGGUUUCUUCGCUCAGUUGGCCCGUUGCUGAGCUAGCUCACCUAUCAUGGCUGGGCAUUGCUAGUUUUCCUGUGUCUUGCCAUUUGGUUGUUUGCUUUUGAGUUGACCAGAUUGUGGUUUCCGUGAGGAUCAGGCAGUUUUUCUUCUUGGGACCGCUUCUUGUCGUCGGAGGCGAGCCGAUCUGGCUCUCCCUUGCGGGCAAGGAAUUUCUGGCCCGUUUGAGCUAGCUUGCCUCCAAAAGUCAGGAUAAAUUGACAGAUCCAAACGUUGGGCCUUGCUGGGCUAGGCUAAUUGAGCUUUUGCCUGGGAACCAAACGAACCCUUAGUGUAUAGAUGCAUUCAAAUUUAGUCAAAGUUGAGACAUCUUUUGUUGGACGGAGGAAGUAUGAGUUUUUUUUGUCAAAUGUAAAAAAAUCAAAAUGUUGUUUCUCAAAAAGUUCAGAAAUUGUUGUAAAAUUUAAUGGAAAAAACUUUUUUUUGUGACCUAGCUAAAAUACAAGUCCAUUGCUUUAGGUUUUAGCACAUUUAGAGCACUGCAAUUCAUUAUCAUGUCCAUGGUACAAAACGCUUUUUUAUUUUAAUACAUUGAGGAUAGAACAGGCUCGUGUUGAAUACACGAUCAUUUACAUUUGUAACUUAAAAAAAAAUCUUUGAACUAUUGUAUAAUCUUUGAUGUUCAUCUCUCGAGCACAUGCUCCCGUUAGCUUUUGUGCCUCUCUGUCAUAUCUUGUUCUGUUUUUUUGUUCAUGUUCGAAGAUUUGAAGCAUCCUCCAAUUUAGAAAAAAAAAACGUGCAAAGAAGUUUCUGGAAGAAGGGGAGGCUCAGAGGACGCGGAGCAUCUCGUCAGCGAAAACUCCCAACGACCCGGAUGCGUACUCCAGAUGCGUUCAAUUCAAUCCAGUGGUCCAUUUCCAAGCUCCAACCAGGCCCAUGGAAACAAGACACGGGCAACUACAGCUGGUAAGGGUAAACGAAAACCAGCAAGAAAUUUCGACUUCGAGCGGUACUUAUCUCUGAACGUGCAUGCAGCAGACGGAGAUACAGUCAAACAAAAGAGGAAAAGGGCAAAAGAAUGAUACCUUGCUUCGCAGGGUAGUAGAAUCCGGGACCAGAUUGGUUGUACAUCCAACUCCAACUGUAAAGACUAGAAGAAGACACAAUUACAAGAGCUUCUUUGCAGAGAACUCUUUGAUAAGGGAGGUAUCGUUCCGUUUCAAAAAAAAAAAAAGACAAGGGAGGUAUCGUUUGUGGGACUCCCUUGAAAUAAAGCUUUCAGCAACAACAACAACAACAAAAAAAACUCCCUUGAAAUAAAGCUUUCAACAAAAGAAGAACUCUUCAGUCAAUCUCAGGAGUUUACAGGUCUCCAGGCCUAACAACUCAUUAGAUCAUGCUUUGCAUUCAGAGGGAGUCGGACCAGAAGGGAAUACUCAAGCUUAGGUAAGACUGAGGUACAAUGAGUGUCAGAUAAAAAGAAAGACUGAGGUACGAUGGACUGGAGACUCACAGGAUCGCGAUCUACAUCAUCGCUCAGAGCGAAUCGCUCUGGCCAUUACUAGGACCACUGGACCAACGAUCCUUUUUUGAGUUGUACAAAGUGGAGCAAGGCAGUGUAUGUCUGUCCAAAGUGGCGACACAGAAGGGUGUUGUAAGGAACAUUACAAGACUGUGAUUCCAAUGCAAAGAUGGAUUUUUGGUUGAAUACUGUAGUGAAAACUUAUAUGAUCCAAAGAAACUACGGAAAUUCGUGCGUGUCAGAAACGUUUGAUGCGCCUGCAUCCAGGAAUACCGGCACACCUUCUCUGGAUUUCUCUUGAGUUUUGGUUUGAUUUUGCUUGCGCUCGAAAUAGUUGGCGUGGCUGAUGAGCGGCAUGCACGAGUCGAGAGCACAGCAUUCUGGUUGCCCUGUUGGUGAAGCGAGGUGUGUGUUCUGCACAAGUGCGGCAUCAGUACCAGGAAAUUCCCGGAAAAACACUACUACACGAUGCCAUCGAGCUGCCUUCUGUUUUUCCAGCCGCAGUGUUCUUGACUCGAACAGAUUGCAGCUUCCUUCCUUCCAGAACGAUCUUAAUUCAUGUAAAAGUGGAUUGUUUCGAAUGGAGGCGUCCAAGUCGUCGGCUUGGUCGUCGAUUUUCGUUCUGCAGAUACUUCCUCUUGUUUCGAUCAGACAGAAACUCAACUUGGCGGAUCAUCGAGAACAACACCAAUCACGUGUAUGCACUGCUGUUCAAUCAGUACUCCGUACAAGAUUUGUUCGUUAACGCAACACGCUGGCGGAUCGAUGCCUGCCGACACCUAUCAAAUCACGCGUGCACUGCAGUGUUAUUCAAGCACAUGAUUUGUUUGUUAGGUGUGCACGUCAAAUUGAAGGCCCCCCAUGCAUGCAUCCUGGAUCACACGCGCAAUAGUACUACACGAUUGCCUUUCCCCCCUUUGUCUUAUAGCAAAAUCCCACAGAUGCAUAACGUGUUCAUUCCUCUUCCAUUAAUUUUCAGAAGAUUUUUCCUUGCCAGGGCCGGCCAUGAGAUAUCUACAUACUGUAUAUAGGUUCCGUCCAGGCUGCAGAGAAGCAAAGUCAUCAGAGAGGUACUGGAUCACCGGACCAAGCUAAUAAUAGUUGCUUAGCCAUGGUCACGAAGAUUUUUCUUGGUAUUUCCCUUUUCGUGAUAUCCAUCCAACUGGUCGCCGGCGACGACGACGGCAGGCUGAGCAAGGUCGUGCGGCAGGUGCCGGCGAUGUACGUGUUCGGGGAUUCGACGCUGGACGUCGGCAACAACAACUACUUGCCGGGUAACGAUGUCCCCAGGGCCAACAUGCCACCGUACGGCGUGGAUUUCAGAGGCUCCAAGCCCACCGGACGGUUCAGCAAUGGCUACAACAUCGCCGACUCUAUCGGUGCGUACAUAUAUAUACAUGUGUAUAACUGUACAUAUGUAUCCUGUAUUUAUAUGCGCACGUACGCAUGAGGCGUGAGAGACUUAUAUAUUACAGCAUACUGUACAUAUUUUUGCAGCGAGGACGCUGGGACUGAAGGAGAGCCCUCCGGCUUAUCUGUCGCUCGCGCCACGAAGCAGCAUCCGUCUGGUCCUCGCCGCGCUCAGCGAAGGCGUCAGCUACGCGUCGGCUGGAUCCGGCAUACUGGACUCCACUGUAAUCAAGCGAGCUUAAUUGCUUCUCAGCCUAUAAGCACUGUUGUCAAUGUUAAUCACGAUGGUUGAUGCAUCUAUGUCACCAUGUGCAGAACGCUGGGAACAACAUCCCGCUGUCGAAGCAGGUGAGCCACUUGGCUUCCACGAAGCGCAAGAUGGAGGCCACGGUGGGCGCCCGCGCCGUGCGCCGCCUGCUGUCCGGCUCCUUCUUCCUCCUCGGCACCGGCAGCAACGACGUAUCCGUCUUCGCCGCGACCCAGCCGGCGGCCGGUGACGUGGCCGCGUUCUACGCCAGCCUCGUCUCCAACUACUCGGCCGCCAUUACCGUAAGCAUCCAUCCAUCCACGCAGACUCGUACAAUACCAGAUGCAUUCUUAGACUAUUUACGUAUAUACAUACAGGAUUUAUACGAGAUGGGGGCGAGGAAGUUCGCGGUGAUAAACGUGGGCCUGGUGGGCUGCGUGCCAAUGGCGCGGGCGCUGAGCCCAACGGGCUCGUGCAUCGGCGGGCUGAACGACCUCGCCUCGGGCUUCGACGCCGCGCUGGGCCGGCUCCUCGCGAGCCUGGCCGCCGGGCUGCCGGGCCUGUCGUACUCCCUCGCCGACUACCACGGCCUGUCGACGGAGACCUUCGCGAACCCGCAGGCGUCCGGGUACGUGAGCGUCGACAGCGCCUGCUGCGGGAGCGGAAGGCUGGGGGCGGAGAGCGACUGCCUGCCGAAUUCCACGCUGUGCGGCGACCAUGAUAGGUUUGUGUUCUGGGACCGCGGCCACCCUUCCCAGCGGGCCGGCCAGCUCAGUGCCGAAGCUUUCUAUGACGGCCCGGCCCAGUUCACGGCUCCUGUCAGCUUCAGGCAGCUGGCUGACAUGGAUGCUAGCUAUUAGUAGAGGAUUAUUAUUGGUUUUGCAUGUAGUUAUGCUGAGCUACCUUCGAAUAAAAUAUGGUACUUCCCCCCUCUCAUAAUUCUGGUCGAAAUAUUACAUGUAUUUAGUUAUUUUUUAAAAUAAAUAUAUUUAUUUUUGGAUAAAUUUGAGACCGGAAUUAUGAAACGGAGGGAGUACCAAGGAUUGGAUCUUCGAUCUUCCAUGCACUCCCGUCGUAAGAACUUGAGUGAGGAUCCAUCAUGCAUUCUGGCUAAGGAUGUAAUUAAUUAUGAUUUCAAAUUUUCAACAAAUGCAACAACAAGAAUGGUCAUGGACUAUAAAUUAGAGACCAUUUGAAAUCCAUUUUACGCUCAGUUGCCACAAAGGGAUGAUAAAGUAGACCGUAAUCGUGUAGACCAAAUAACCGACCGAGUAAUAUAAUAAGUUCAAACCGACCGAGUACUUAUUUAUUUUUGAAGUUAAACUGUAAGGGUUGCGCGAUUGCAGUCCGACAGUAUAUAGAUAUAUAUAAUUCUACAAAAUGAGACACCAAAGUACGACCUUCGAAGAUCGAACUCUGGUGGGCUGUCAGCAUACCUGGCUAGCUGACCACCUAAACUAUGCUUGGUUCUCGACCUAGUACUUAUUGGAUUACUCGGUGGGUUAAGUGAACUUAUUGGAUUACUCGGUCGGUCAUGUGGUCUACUCGACUACAGCCUAAUUUAAAACUUCCCGCACACCUUGUUUAUGAACCUUGUGCUAGCUGUGGCAUGGCAGUAACUGCAGCUCUGCACGGACCGGAAUCAACUGAAGCUGCAGUUGGUGUAUUGGUCGGACUCGGAGUCAAAUUGAUCCCCGCGUGAUGCAUGGCGCCCGGGGUACAAAUAUGCCGUUGCCAUGCCUGCCCUCGAUCGAAAUCAAAACCGAAAUCGAAGGCUCUCGAACCGGCCCCCGGCCGGCGCUUCGACGUCACCGUUCGGCGGCGAGGCCAUGCCCAUACCCCAACGGCUGGCUGUCGUCGUCAAAACGCCGCCUCCACGGCCGGAACGGCAGCAGCGAGCACCGUGGUCCGACCGCGGCCCUGCCGGCCGACGUCCUCUCGCUGAUCCUGGCGCGCGCGUCGUCGGGCGCCGCUGACGUGGCGGACACGCACGCCGCGCUCAUCUGCCGCCGCCCUCUCGAUACCACACCCGCCUUGCCCUCGGUUUCUUCCACCAGCAACACGAACGCGUCCGCGCCGUCUUCCCCAGCCGCCGGACGACGACCGCGCAGCCCCGCUUUGUGCCCACAGCGUCCGCCUCGCGCCUCCUCCUGGGCCCGGGCUCUCAUCAUCUCGAUCCAGGUCCAGGCCCACCAGGCCUGUUCGACUACGCCCGCCCGGUCGCGUCCCGGAACGGGCGCGUCGUGCUGGCGCUGCGGCGACGGGCUGACGCUCAGCGUGUUGAACCCCAUGACCGGGGACGUGUCCGUGCUCCCCGCGCUCUCGGGCGACGACUGCCCGGGGCAGUGCUACGUGUGCGCCCUGCUCACGAGCGACGACCUCGCCGAUCGAACCACCGGCGCCCGCGGGCUUCUUCUUCCGGGUGCUCCUCGUCUACAACGGCCGGCGCCGCAGCGGCUUCACGGCGCUGCUGGCCUUCUCGUCGGACACCGGCAUGUGGGGCCCGGAAGGCCGGAAGCCGGGGCCCAAGAUGAAUGCCGCCAGGCUGCGCCGGGUAGGCCCCGCGCGCCGUGGCCGUCCGCGGAGUCGUCCAGUAGCGCCACCAUGGACGUGAGCUUCGUGCCCUACAGCACCUCCAGCCUGUACUAUUUCCCGGACUACCGCGUGCUGGGCGUGUCACCGGAUGGGAGCCUCAGCUUCGUCUACGCGACUCUCAAUGGACUCAGCAUCUUUGUCGAGACCCUAGAGCCGCAGGCGGGUCAGUGGGAGACGCGCGAAUGGAUCAAACUGCCCCAGGUCCAGGUGAGCCAUGCGACGACCGCGGUUAAGCUGCGGUGGUUCAACGAGAAGAGCGGCACCGUGCUCUUCACCUUGAGACAGCAAGACGGAGACGACGCCACCAGCGGCGCCUUCCUGUUGAAUAUCGCCACGAGGUCGCUGGAGAAGCUUGCCGGCGGCGUCGAAUGCCAUGGGUGGAGGAACGUUUGCGGAUAUGAGAUGGACCGUGUGGCGCUCAUUGCGUCCACUGCCCGCUUCUGAUCUUCGUACGACACGUACGUACUUUUGGUUCUAGCCAUCGAGAAGAAAACAAGACAUGGAUGUUCAGCAAUUAGUGCUGUUUAACAUAGCUAUAAAGAAUAUGUCAAAUUAUUUUAUUUUGAUAGAAUCUAUCCGAUAAUUACAUAUAAGCUCAUUGACAUAAACUUGAGAGGAGCUGAUCCCAAACGUCACCUCUCGGACCCCAAAAUGUCGCUUGAGAAAACAGCUUAGUUUACAACAACCAUCCACGAAUUCGGAAGCACAAAGGUAGUUUUUUUGAGAGUUCUCCCAAAGGAGGCCCGAGGGGCAAUACACUUGCCGGAGCAAAAUAACCUUCUAGGUAGAAGCUAAGGGAUGCAGCAUAGGUCAUGAUGUAACCACCGAACUGGGGAACACGAUCAACAGAAGGAGGACUGUCAUGGGCAGCCAGAACGCCACAAGACAGCACCAGAGUGCAGUGAGGAUCAAACCAGAUAGCUCAAACAAAACAUGAAAACUACUGGCAAGAGAAACCACAAGCAUCAUCAUUAAGAAGACGCACCAAUGUCAUCUCAUGACAAAAGAUGACGCUGGCUCAUUAAGCAUGAAGAGAUUGCACAAAGUCUUCACCGGAGGGUGGGUUGUCCGAGAGAAGGAAAAGUAGUAAUAUGGUGGUGACAUGCUCUCGAAGAGUGCCACUAGUGUAAAAAUGUCUCCCCAAAGGGGGGGUGAGUUACCCAAUUGAGGAGUGUAAAAGGAGGGCAUAUACGACGACAUAUGAUGACAACAAGGGCAAUCCUGACAGAAGUUUCGAGAUUUGGAGAAGCUAAAUGGAGUUGGAUGAAAUGGGGUGGCGGAUGGAUAUCAGAUCGACCAAAGUUAGCACAACGCACUCUAUCACGGCAUCUCCGGCAGGAGGAAGCCGUCUCCAUGGCAGCCAUCUGCGAAACCAUGGAUCUUGGAAGCACAGCAAUCAAGUUGGUAUAGAGACCUCCAAGUAUAAGCCACGACACCAGGCGUUAAACUAUUGGUGCCGCCACCACAGCUGCCACCUGCAAACCAUGGUUACCGAGGGCAUGGCAGUGCCACAGGCAACGGAGGGAGGGACGAGGAGCAGCAUCACUCUAAUCAAGGUGAACAUCCGGAAAAAUUUGCAAUCUGAGGUGGCAGCGGGUUGGUGGAGUGGGGAGCAAUGAAUGAAGGGGGCGAUACCAGCACUGAAGAUGGCCGAUGAGGAGGCGAAAAUCGGAGUUGGAGGAGCCGUGGAGGGCAGCUUCGGAUCCUGGGACGCGGGCGGAGGCGACGGGCCAGGACUAGGCCGAGCGGCCCGCGGGAGGCGAGACCUGGGCCGGUGUGGAGCCCCAGACGGCGAUGUCAGCGGGCGCUCGGCCGAGCAGACGCCUGAUCUUGCCGUCAGACAAGCCAUCUCGGGAGGGGAGGAGGUGGGUACCGUCGACAGCGAGGUGGGCAGGAGCGGCAGGAGGGAGCAGCGAGUCAGCAGUCCGCCGGAUCUGGCCCGCGCCCGCCGGAUCUACCUUUAUCACGGCGACGACGAGCAUAGGCUACGAGGGAGCUAGGCUAGUCGGAGGCGCGCGGACGUGGCCUUGGCUGAGGACGAUGGCGAGACGACGAUGAGGGGCGGUGCGAACGUGAACCUGCGGCGCAACGCUCUGGAUCAGGAAAGCACCACACAGAGCAGGCCCUUGCACGGGAGAUGGGGUCGAUGGCGAGGCGAGGGGUGGUGAUGGGCGGCGCAGAUGAGGACCCGCGGCGCAGCAUUCCGGAUCUGGACGGGCACGCUGCUCGCCGAAUCCGGCCACCGCAGGCAGGGGGACGAGGCCCGGAAAGCACCUAGGGCCGCAGCCUCGCAGAGCAGGGCGCUCGCAUGGGACAAGCGGCAGCAGCAGCCCCGCCGCCACCAUCCUCGUCCGCUGCGCGAUUUCCGGCGACCAACUCUGAUGGCGACGAGGGGAAGCAGGUGGAGGGAGGCGGCGCUCGGAGGGAAACCUAGUCGCCCCCGAGUCGCUCUCGGGAGGACGACGCGAGGGACGCGUUUUUCCACAAAGGUAUUUAUAUGAGUUGCAUCUGACUAACUGCUUGACAUUAAUAGUUUAUCACAACACAAAUACAUACAAACAGCAAGAACCUUCUUAAAGACUUUCCAGAUCGGAUGAAAUGCGGAUCACUUACUAAUCAAAUACACAGCUGAACUAUCAUGAUGUACUAUAUGCCAAAUAAUCCUAUGCGAUUUGGAAUGAAGAAGAUUGCCGUGAUGAUCAACAAUAUUAACAACAUGAGGUUCAAUACACGAGUAAUUUACAAAAAUCACUGCACAGUAGCUACCAUCAGUCAGUGGCGGAGCCAGGAUUUUGUCAAGACCAGGACAGUUGCUCCCAAUCGCUAGAAUUAGCAAGUAAGACCCAGACCAAAUCGUGAAAUCAUCAAAAUUACCAAAGGAAAAAGCUUCUACGCCCUGGGCCGCGGUCUCCGCCCCUGCCGUCAGGAGCAUUUCUUGAAAACGGGAAACUUGCUUUAAGACAUGAACAAUAAAUUUAAGCACAAAUAAAAAGCAUGAAGACACAAUUAUCGAAUUGUGAUGUAAAGCUUUGUUUUCUUUUUCUAUAAACCAUUUUAUAUUGAUUUGAAGACAGGUUGUGUUCACAGGAAAUCACAAUGCCGGCACCUUGAUUGGAUGAAAACUUUGUUUCUUUUCUUCUAUAGACCAUUUUAUAUUGAUCCGAGGACAGUGUAAAGCUUUGUUUUCUUUUCUAUAAACCAUUUUAUAUUUAUUUGAGGACUGUGUAAAAGGACUCGAUACAGAAACAUCGGACCCGAGGUUUAGGCAUGGAGGUAACAUUGAACAUAGUACAUACAUUAGUAUUUUAACAGGGUUGUACAACAUCAAUUGGCUUAAAACGAACAGGGCGUAUAGGAGCUUGGCCGCUUGGAAUGGUGGACUCCGGAUAAAGUGGGUUCAGUUGCAGUAUUGAACAGGUUUCAGAGAAUACAACGAAGUUCAUGAAAAGGUUGAAGUGCUUCGGGAGCAAUUCCGCAACAAAAUUGGUCAAAUUAAGGUAGUAACAGCAGGUGAUGCGACUUCUCACUUCACUUCUCAGUUCAAUAAAGCUCCCUUUAUCGGAAAAAAAAACAAAAAUUAACAGAAAGAUACUAAGAUAUCUAUACCAAUAUAUUAAAUUGGAGUAUGUGGUGAUGGUACGAGUGUCGCGGUGCAUCACUUCACCAAAAUUACGAAUCUGCCAUCGCUGUCCCACGUGUCUUUUAAUCCCGGCUCCCGCAGUCCUCAAGCGCAGAAAAAACACGUACCACAAAAAAAAAUACAAACUAACAGAGCCCUCAUCGCGCCUCCUCCUCCUCUCCUACGAAUCUCACCCCCACCCCCUGCCCGAUCCGGAUCUCGCCGCCGCUCUUGGUUGCCUCCACCGGCUCGUGCGUGUCGGCGGCGUUCGUGUGCGGAAGGCGGCUCCGUCACGUGCUCCAACCGCCGCCUCCACCGGCUCUUGCGCGCCGGUGGCUCCCCGCGGGACUUGGACGGCGAUGAGACGAGCCUGAGGCCGGGAUGGCGGUCGCUUCGCACAAGGCAGCAAGGACUGCGUCGGCGCGAGCCAUCGGUGGCCCUCUGCACGGGCAGUGGCACGCGGCAACUAGUGGCCGGACGCGAUGUGUGGCGGCGCGCGGGCGCGGCGAACGGGCGGACAAGGCUGCGAGAGGGCGCAGGCGGACGGCGCACAGGCGGCAAGUGGGAGCAAACGGCGCAUGGGAGUGGACGGGCAGCGGGAAUCUACGGGUGGAGGCGGGGCGCACAAGCGGACGGCCGUGCAUGGCGACGUGAUGUUCGGUGGCAGGAUGAAUCGGGACGGGGAGAGGAGGAGUUUGCACUCAGUGUGAAUGGAGAGGAUAGUCAGAGAGAGCGAGAAAUUGAGAGAAGAUAUUUGAGAAAUAAAAUACGGAGUAGAAGUAAUAGUAGAGCACAAGGAGAAAUGUAGAAGACAUGUGGAAAAAAAAAAGAAACUAGUGUAUAGCCCACGAAAAUAAAUAUAUCAUAAGCGAUAUAUACAUAUGUACUCAAUUUUCCGUUGUUCCGGACCAACGUACGGUUCUUUUGCUAGUACUACGUAUACAGGAGAUGAUUACCAUACGCAGUUCGAAACUCAUAGACCCCCACCACCAUAUGACACCCUUAACCCCAUCUACUUUCUGCACAUGACAUCUAUGAACUGACCCCAUCUACUUUCUGCACAUAAAAACAAGUGAAGGGGAAACCUGGUAGAAUCAGGCGCUGACCCUUUAUAAUAGCGCCAUUCAAUAAGAUAAACUGAGCUUUGGUUGGAGAAUAAAAUCUGCACAUGACAUCUAUGAACUGUAAGAUAUAAUCAGAAAAUGCUCUCUAACAUAAAACAAAGCAAUAUUGGUUUACAGUAAAACUAUAUCUCUUGACUGAGGAUUCACACUUGACUUCCACAUAUUGUGGGAAAUAGGAAUGAGCCCAGCAAAACAUUCCCGAAACUAAGUCACCUUUAGAUGCCUAUGAUAUAAGUUAUAACACUAAAAAAUGUAUAAGGAAAUAAGGAACCACUCAGAUUUCAGCCUUGAAAGUAAUUACCAUCAUUCAGGCAAGCAAGAAGGCGUCAACAAAAAUAAUACCUGAGCAAUAACCCAGGCAAAGAUCAGAAGCUUUUCCUGUAAAAGAUAUUUACUGUUUCCCACUAUUUGGGCGGUAAGGUGUAUUACGGAGUAGCACCUUUGGCUUCCUUCUUAAAGUCAAGGCAAGCACAACGAAGAUUGCAACCUGACAAAAGCAAUGUUCAGUCACAAACUGACAGUCAAACAUCAACACCAACAAGAAACUGACGUCAUGCAUUAUUGUAAUUACAUGCUCAAUAAUCAAGAGUUAGAGACUUUUAAUGGUCAAAAUACAAGAGUAAAAUCUAUUUUGAACCUUGUCUUUGUAGAGGUUGGCUAAAUCAAACCCUGAACGUGCAAAUCCCCGAAGUUGCCACCCUCACCUCCCUAAUCCCGGUCUAAAAUUGCUUUAAAUGCGUUUAGAAGCCGGGAUCGCUGACGUGGCAGAGCCAAACCCGGGAAUCUUGACUUCUGUUGAGCUCAGUUUCCUCUCAAGUUGUGUCCAUUCAUCUCAAUUUGGUUGCGACUCGUAGCAAAUUCUCCUCUUCUCUGUCUCAUGGUUGUUAACUGUUCAUUCUGAACAACACGGUUGUUGUGGAUAUAUGGAGUGGCAUGAUGGCCCGAUGAUGCCGUUUCUUCGGCAAUUGCUACUCGAUCUAUGCAAUACAAUACAGUAUGGGCUUGUGAUGUUCAAGUUAAUGUGGAGCCAAUUGAAGCACAAAGAGCAAGAAAUGUGGCUGUUGCUGCACUAAGACAGGAGCUUGUUGAGAAGAAUGCAGAGAUUGAAGCUAUUAGGGCUAGAAAUGAGACAGGGGACAGGAAGAUGUAUGAACUUGUUGUGUAUGCAGUCCUGUUUUUUCUUGCUGGUUUAGUGGCAGGAAUUCAGCAUUGAGUUGUAUUGGUGUAUGGAAUUUCUGGAAGAAUGGCAGGAAUUAAUCAGUCAUCUGUAUGUGCCUUUGCUGUGAAAGAACGGCAGAUUCCAUGUGAAUUUUGACAGCACAUACUUGUGUAUUUCCUAUGUAUUUUUACAACACUUUUCUGUAUAUUUUGACAGCAGAAACUGAACUGAAUAAUGCAAAGAAAAGAUCACAGUUUUCUGAACAUUAUGACAGCACAUGUUGACAGGAAGAAAAAACAGACCCGAUCAAUCCAGCGUUCAAUCAUUCCAAAGAGACCACAUGUUGACCGGAAGCACAAACUGGGACUGAAAAUAAGCUGCUGGCGCCACUUUAUGGACCCCUGUUUGGAAAACCCGUUUUAGCAUCUUUAGACCGGGAUUUGGAAGUUUAGGGUGCCAACUUUAGGGAUUUGCAAGUCAGGAUUCCAUCUACAUUUCUACAAAGACAAGGUUUAAAAUAGAAUUUACUCGAUUACCAAUCUAUAUUUUAUCAUAUCCAAGAUCUCUAUGCAAUGCAGAAUGUCAGCAAAUAAAAUAUACAAUUUGCAGAACCUACCUAUUAAAUGAAUGAUGGUUGUUCGAGAACCAGGUCUUUCUACCUGAAUCAGCACUUCAUUGCAACCAAAAUGGUGCUAGAAUCGGUUGACAAGGGUCCAGUAUUGAAACAUAACAUUUGCGAUUAAAAUAUAGUUUGUGUUUUCCUUCAUGAACCUACGAUACAUAUGAUGAACAGGUGAUAGGUAAAGUCAUCAUGGAUUGAAUGCUACCUGGGCUUUGGAGUUCGUUGGACAACCUUCUCCGAAUUUUCCGGUCCCACUGCUUAACCUGACAACUCAGAAAUGAUUUUAUCCAUACACCACAAAACGAAUUCCCCCAGGGCAUUGGGAAAUCUCUGAUUGAUCCAAUCACUCGCCAUCUUGCAAACUGGCUCAGGAAUAUAGCACAAUGGUAUCUGCUCAAUACAUCAUACAACAACCAAUUAGGCGCAUCGCAAAAACAAUUCAAGUAUAAAGCAAGGUAAUUCUCAUUCUUAAAUAUCCUGAUGUAAGGUAAAUGUCAAUCACAAUGGUGAUGCAGAAACACAUGCAAUCUCUGCUAGUCAUUGAAGCAUGCAGGUGAAAGAGCAAUAACUAAAGAUGAGCUUGCAGAUUAUUCAACAAGUGAAGAUGAUCAAGCAUUCAAGCCCAAGAUCAAAAGGCGAGUGAAGGUGAAGCUGGAGGAGGAGGCGAUGGUGGUUUUGAAGUGGAUGAUGGCCUUGGUUUAAGCGACUGAUAAUAUAAUAGUAUGGUGCUGCAGACUGACAUAUAGGUGUUGGGCUGGUGUGCCUUCUUUUGGACAUACAAAUCUAGGCUGCCUCAGAUGAUCAUAAAAUAACUUCAUUUUUCAUAUAGCCAUACACAACUCUGCAUUUGUUACUUAAAGACGACGAACUGAAAAGAUUGUAUGACAGCACGUCCUACACAGUACUUUUCUAAGACAAGUAAGCUUCCUCAAAGUAGCGUUGAAACAAGUCGUUCCGCAAAUAAAAACAACUCAUUAUGCAAAUAAAAGAUUCUGCACAACGAAUACAAAUGAGGUGAACGGGUAGGCCCAUACCUGGAAUUCAAGGCUUACAUUCAACAAUAGUGGACACAAGAGCCUGUUUACCAAUAAGAUGAACAAUUUAUUUUUCGGUAGCAUCAUCACCAACUAAUAUGAUUUGCUCAGCACCAAAGCCAUGCAGGUUACCAUGUUUACAUUUGUUUUCUCCAAAAAUAUUCACAGUUGCAUUUUUGUCAUUACCCGUUUCCAGGACUCCAGCAGCACAGGAAGUUCUCCAUAUACCGGACCAGUCUCUGGAUUAGCUUGUCAACACACUUGAUGGGAAAAAGCACAAGAGGUAAAUGAUACUUUGGGCCAUACAAAGAAUUCCACAAUGCAUGCGAAAAUUUUGGAACAUAUCGGAGAGAUGGCGUAGCUUGUUUUCCAUGUUUAUUUCCUUGCAUGCAUGCUUAAAGUGAUCGAAUAUCUUCAAAUCCCCCUUGCUAUAGUAUGCUCAGUGUCACCGGCAAAAUGGAAGCCCUCCUCAAAAUUUCUACGGACAUACUUAACAAGUGCUAUUUGUGUCAUGGUCAGAUCCUGUACCUCAUCUACGUAAACAAAAUCCACCAUAUCGCCAUUGUGUAGCCCUCAGAAACUAGACUUCCAUGAAGACAAUUCACAAAAUAUUGUCUGCAUGAUAUGCUGGUUACAAAUAAUGCCCGAAAAGAGAUUCUUUGGUUAUUGGGGUUAGACUAUCCUCAAUUGCUCCUAGGUGAUGCACACAAAAUAUUCGACAUACUCUAUCCAAAAGACCCAAACUGGACAUUUUAGUAGCAAAAUGCAUAAAUACCGAUUAACAUGACCAUCCAUACUCACCAAAGAAGACAUCUAAGGUUUCUUUCCCUGGAUACUAAAUAGAAUGCAUAGACAUUGUUCAGUUUCUUUUCAUAAUUAUUAUUAUACAAACUAAUGCAAGUCUUUAUACUCUACUGACCCGUAAAAUAUGUGAUAUAUAUAAUUAUUUCAUUUUCUUUUCUCUAGAAAUCUCUGAUCAGAAGAGAUUAAGUUAAGCCAAUGCUGAUCAAAGUACAGCAUGCAAGAAAAAAAAAACUACAGCAGGUGAAAUGGCAAAGUUAACAGGAUGAUACUAAGAUAUACUACAUAUAUAUAGGAGACGAUUACCAUACGCAGUUCGAAACUCAAGACCGCCACCAUAGUGACAAUAUGAUAUCCUUAUCCCCAUCUACUUCCUGUAGGCUAGCACAGUAACACAAAAAACCGAACCGACCACAGAACACAGCAAAUCCAAGGCAAGCUUCCUAACACUUGAUGAAAAAAAAAAUGAAUGCAGACACCUAGUCGACCUCCUCCAUCUUGCUCUCGCCAGCGUCAUCCUCCAGUGCUGGCAUGUCGGUGUCAUCAGCAUCGGCGGCCUCAUCCUCAUCGAUGCUCAGGCCAAGCUUGAGCAUACGGUGGAUCCUGGUGCCGAAGGUGUUGGGGUCGUCCAGGCUGAAGCCAGAGGUGAGCAGGGAGGUCUCGAACAGCAGCAUCACCAAGUCCUUGACAGACUUGUCAUUCUUGUCAUCAUCCGCCCGCUUGCGCAGCUCCUCCAUGAUGGCGUUCUCCGGGUUGAUCUCCAUUGUCUUCUUGCUUGACAUGUAGCCUCCCAUGCUCGAGUCCCUCAGAGCCUGGGCCUUCAUGAUCCGCUCCAUGUUGGCAGUCCAGCCAUACUCACCAGUGACAAGACAGCACGGCGAGUCAACGACGCGGUCAGAGACAAUGACCUUCUCCACCCUGUCACCGAGCACAUCCUUGAUCACCUUGCAGAGGCCCUCAAACUUCUCCUUGAGCUCCUCCUUCCUCUUCUUCUCAUCCUCACUGUCCUCAAGCUUCAGGCCUUCCUUGGUGGCAGACACAAGCUUCUUUCCCUCGAACUCCUUGAGCUGGCCAAUGGCGUACUCAUCAAUGGCAUCAACCAUGAACAGGACUUCAUAGCCCUUCUUCUUUAGCCUCUCCAAGAAGGGAGAAUUCUCCACAGCCUUCUUGCUCUCGCCGGUGAUGUAGUAGAUGUCGUUCUGGCCCUCCUUCAUCCUGGUCACGUAGUCCUUGAGGCUGGUCAGCUCAUCACCACUCUUGGUGGAGUGGUACCUCAGGAGCUCAGAAAGCUUGGUCCUGUUGGUGGAGUCCUCAUGGACGCCAAGCUUGAGGUUCUUGGAGAAUGCCUCAUAGAACUUGUUGUAGUCCUCCUUGUUCUCAGCAAUCUCAAAGAACAGCUCAAUGGACUUCUUAACAAGGUUCUUCCGGAUGACCUUGAGGAUCUUGUUCUGCUGGAGCGUCUCUCUAGAGAUGUUGAGGGGAAGGUCCUCAGAGUCAACAAUUCCCUUGACAAAGCUCAGCCACUCAGGAAUCAGCUCCUCACAGUUGUCCAUGAUGAAGACACGGCGCACAUAGAGCUUGAUGUUGUUGGCCUUCUUCCUGGUGUCAAAGAGGUCGAAGGGGGCCCUCUUGGGGACAAAGAGAACAGCCUUGAACUCAAGCUGCCCUUCCACAGAGAAGUGCUUGACAGCUAGAUGCUCCUCCCAGUCGUUUGUCAAGCUCUUGUAGAAUGCAGCGUACUCCUCCUUAGUGAUCUCUUCAGGCUUCCUCAUCCAGAUAGGCUUCUGCUUGUUGAUCAGGGACCACUCAUGAGAAACCUCCUUGAUCUUCUUCUUCUUCUUUUCUUUUUCCUCCUUUUCUUCAUCAAUUUCCUCAACCUUGCCCUCCUCACUAUCCUUUUUCUCUUCCUCAUCCUCAUCAUCGGAAAUUUCCUUCUCAGUUGUCUUCUCAGUCCACAGAGAGAUAGGGUAGCUGAUAAACUCAGAGUGUUUCUUCACCAGAUCCUUAAGGCGCCGCUCCUCGAGGUACUCCAACUGCACAGUAGAAGCAAAUUGUUAGGGACAAUUAACACGCCACAAGUUAUCAGUAACAAUAUGAGUAAAGAAGAAUCUGCUGCAGUCUGACCUAUGUGCAGUGAUACUUAAGUUGAGAAAAAACUUGCUCGAUGAAUUAUUUUGAUUAAUUUUACUGAUUCUACAUAGUAAUAGUGAAGCCAACUUGAAAGCAACAACAUUCUCCAAAAAAAAAACUUCACAGCAACAACAAAGCAACAGGAAAUAAUUCCGUUUCAAACUAGGGAUGCAAACGGGACCCUGCAAAGGCCCACUACUAGUUCAAUCGUCAAAUCUCCUAUUCGAAAUUUGAAUGGGAAAUGAAAUUCAAGAAUUGAACGAAACAGGAUCACAUUUGCAUCGCAAUUCAAUACAACAACAAACAAUAAUGCUGAUUAAUUUCAUUCCAAAGGCCAAACAAUAAAUUAACUUAGCAAGUAUAUUCCAUUUCAUUGCAAACAGAUGGCCAUAAAUUCAAAACAUAGACCAUAGCAGGUACCAACAGGGGACUGAACCAACAGGAAAUUCUUAAACCCAAAUUCAACAUUCAACUUCCAUUAAAGCUCACAUUCCAACAGUGAAUUGAGCAUAUGAAGAAGCAGGAAAUUCUUGUACCCAAAUUUGAACAUCCAACUUCAAUUAACCCUCACAUUUUCAGCAUUGAAUUGAGUAUCACUAACAAAGCCAGGGACCAUUUGGUCAUUACAACAACAGUAAUACAACAAGGGAGGGAAAUGAGCAGCACACGAUAAGGAUAUCUCAUGAGAAGUUCUAAUUAGCCACACAAACAAUCAGCACUAUCCAAAUCAAACUAAGCUGCAAACAGGACAUGGCUCAGGUAAAUUGUGCAAGCACUUUAGCUAUUGGCCAGGUAGCUAGUGCAAGCAAAUAUUUAUUUUCUCCUAACAUUACCCAGGUAGCAGGUACAGGUAGUAAAUUAUUAUUCGGUGAGCUAUAUUUUGUUUUACCUGAUCAUCCUUGAGGUAGAGGGUGAUCUUGGUACCCCUUCCAAGGGGCUCUCCAUCAUCACGGGUGACUGUGAAGGACCCACCCGCCUGAGACUCCCACACAUACUGCUCAUCGUCGUUGUGCUUGGUAGUCACAACGACCCUCUCCGCAACAAGGUAAGCAGAGUAGAAGCCAACACCAAACUGACCAAUCAUGGACACAUCAGCACCAGCAGCCAGUGCCUCCAUGAACUCCUUCGUCCCAGACCUUGCAAUUGUACCAAGGUUGUUCACCAAAUCUGACUUUGUCAUACCGAUACCACUGUCGAUGAGCGUGAGUGUGUUCGUGGCCUUGUCAGGGACAAUGUGGAUGAAUAGCUCUGGC
This 19581-nucleotide long non-coding RNA is filed under the name Brachypodium distachyon (stiff brome). Its description in RNAcentral is "long non-coding RNA (BDIS_LNC003756)". Lineage: Eukaryota; Viridiplantae; Streptophyta; Magnoliopsida; Poales; Poaceae. The record is from RNAcentral.